Molecule: unclassified non-coding RNA, 3263 nt
Filed under: Mizuhopecten yessoensis (Yesso scallop)
Lineage: Eukaryota; Metazoa; Mollusca; Bivalvia; Pectinida; Pectinidae
Description: uncharacterized LOC110461658, transcript variant X1
Source: RNAcentral
GUGACUCAGUUUCCAAUGAAGGAGUGAUGGACAACAUGUUCCGCUUGCUAUAGAAUUUAUCCAUGUUGAGUGUCGACACAGACUAAUUUACACGCUCAUCGCAUAAGGUCGUCUUCGGUGUUUAUGAGAUGAUGAACAUCUCGACCAAAGCUAUGCAGAAGAUUGGAUCAGCCUUGACUUCCAUGAUUCCGAGGAUGGAGAGCCACAGUAAUCCCCCCUGCAGCUUUAACGGGGAGCGUCAGUGUGAGGACGGGUCGUGUAUACAGGCCGUGGACCUCUGUCCGGAGGAACAGCUGAUGAACCAGAACACGAUCCUCAUCAUGAUAGUUGUUGGACUAGCUGUCGUCAUAUUCCUCAUCGUCUUGUACUGUUUCCAGCAGCGUCAAAGGGAAGGCAACAGACGUCCGAGCUCUAUGACAGAGACAAAUCGUGACGAGGAAGACCAUGCAUCACUAUACAUGCCACCACCCACCUAUGAGGAGGUGGUCACUACAGACUUAUAUCCCCCCACACCACAAAUGAGGCUCGCAAGGGGGAGGAUCACAUCUAUUGAGGAGCCCCCUAUGACUCCUCCCCCCAACUAUGACGCAGCCUUAUCCAUUCUUGCCAGAAGCCACGAGUCAGUGUUUGGAAAGAUUCCCUUCAUGAGACGCAAGUCAUCAUGUGUAUCUCGCCGGAGUUUCUCUGUGGACAAUGUAAACAAUGUGGAGCUAGCCCCACCCCCUGUCAGUCCUAACGUGACUACAAUUACAGAACAGGACAGUGGUAGUUGUGAUAAAACAUCCAUAGAGGUCAUCACAAACCGGUGACCUCCGUGGAAGCCAAUGUUGGCAUAGAAACGUAUCCAGUAGCCAUCUCAAUGUGUUGUGUUGGAAGACUUUAUCCUUCAUCCUCUGUGUAAGAUUGAAAUACAUCUUUAAAUCUUGAACAAAUUUAUUUCACAUUGCUAUGUAUUGACAAGGACUGGAUUUUUUAACAGCUGAGCUUAUUAUAUCAAUUAUAUCAAUAUAUUCAUUUCUUGAUCAGACCAGUAGCAUUGUCUUCAGUAUGGAGGAACAUUUGACAAUGGCAGAUACAUUAACAAUGGGAUUAUUUCACUGGCAUUACGUAAUAUUUAAAUCAUGAAACUUUGGUCAUGUGUAAGCUUGUUAUUCUAGCCACUGCUAAUCUGCUAGUCACAUGGUGGCACUAUUUAGCCACAUUGACGGAACAGGAAGGUGGCACUAUCGAGCCACAUUGACGGAACAGAAAGGUGGCUUUAAUAAAAAUUAAGCUUGCCUGUAUUAUGACAUUUUGAAGGUGGACAAGCAAUAGCAAUACCUGGAUAAUGUGCAAAGAUCUGACUGUCUGACAAAGUCAUUUUGUUUAUGUAUGUUUGGUCAGACAGACAGUAGGAUUAAUUAACUGUCAGUGUGACACUCAGCUAUUGACCAAUGUGUAUUAAACACAUUAUAAAUGUGUACACACACGAUAAAAUGUAUGUACAGUGAGUGAUGCCAGACUUGCUACGGUGAGUGCAAUAGAGAUGUGUAAUAUAGCUGUGUAAGUCCGUGUAUUGUGGUGUUUGAUGAAGAGUUAUGUUCCUGUAUAUUGUCUUGCGUGUCCAUUGUCCUGUGUGUAUAUUUAGUGUUGUACCAGUUGUAUUGAUAUGUUUUGUUCUAUAUUUAACUGCCAUACAGAGGAUUGUCAUAUGUUACUUGUAAAGUAAACAUAGACUAUUUAUUCUCACAAUAGAAUUUAAAUCUUCUGCGCAUGCUUUCGUUUAUAAGAUGAUCAAUUUUGUCAUUUGGUGCUAUACUGUAAAACAGUCGAGACUUGAUCAGUUUUGGGAAUCAAGAAUUUGUAUGUGUACUUAAUUUCGUGUUGACUUAAACUGUAUGAAAUAAUUAAGUGUUGUCCUAACAGUUGUUUAGAGAUUAUUGUAAUGAUCGAUAGAUAUUUGUGAGAUUUUGGAGUUAGAAUUUUAAAAUAUAAAUUUAGAAUAUUUUAACAUGCCUCAGACAACUCUUGAAGUUGGUCACUGUAUAAACAUAUAACUGACAGGUUAUAUAUCUUUUAUUCUCAGGUUUAAAUAAAUUGGUCACAAAAUGUUUAUUUUUGUUACAAGUUUAAACAAAUAAUCGGUGAUCAUUCAAUAAUUUUCCAUAAGGCAGUUAGCUUAAAUAUUCCCCUACAAACAAGUAAUGUUAAUUUAUAAAACUGUGUAAACAAGGCAUAUAUCAAACAAGGUAGAUAAGGACACUGAUUAUUGUCACAAAUAGUUAGAUACUGUCUUCUGCAGCACUUUAAUAUUGAUACGUUAUGCCCUUGUGCCAUAGGUAAUCAUGUGAUUUUAUGUUUUAUCUUCAAGAUAGUCACGUCAUAAUUUUCUCUGUUUAAUAUUCUGGUUUUACUAGACAUUGAACUUCAAAAGAAGCGACUUAUCUAUAUACAUUUAUAAACAAUUAAUUACAUCUAUCAGAUUUAUCGUCCUGUCACUCUGUACAGGUUUACAGAUUUAUGUUGGUGUCCAUGUUUUUGUAAAUUGACCACAGUCACAAAGAACACAAAAAUGACCAGCCAAGAUUGACCCUGGUGUAUAACAUUAGUGGUCAACUUUUAUACAAAUCACAAAACUUCCAGACCAUGGUUGACCAUAGUUUAAAGGCCAUGUUAAUUUUUCCAUUUUCUACUCUUCUUGGCUUACAAGGUCACUUGCCUGUGUACUGGAAACAUACCCGUGUUACACAGGUUCUAUCCUGAUCUUGUCUAAAAGAAAUCUAUAGGAAGUGAUACACACAGUACUGCUGAUCACUGCUGGCCCUGUUUGGCUCCGAGGUAUAACUAAUUUUGAUAAUCUUGUGACACAUUCUUAAUGACUCAUUAGUUAUAAGGAGAGGGUUGUAGGACAAUACCGGUUGAUGGUUAUUGCUGAUUAUCAGGCAAAAUUAGAUUCCUUUCAAGCUUACAUAUGUGUGUAUCAUAGUGCUGUUUAUAUAUUUAAUGUUCAAUGUAAGUAACACUGAUACUCAUAAUAGGCUAUCUAGCUAGGCCCAUAUAGAUUAACUUAUCUGUCAGGGUACACUGUUGUACUUAAGUUAAUUAUCACACAUUACAUGUGAAAUUAUUUUUGUAACUUAAAAAUCUGAUUUUAUCAGAAUUGAAAAAAUGAAUGACAAUCAAGUUUUAAUAAAGUAGAUUAGCAUUGGCAUAGCUGAUGGUCAAUUAUUUAAAACUGUUUUCACAUUUAUUUUAUUGAGGAGGAACGGAGAGUUAAAUAUCUC